UGCCAAAGUAGGGACAUUCUAGUGAUUGU
Molecule: non-coding RNA, 29 nt
Filed under: Rattus norvegicus (Norway rat)
Lineage: Eukaryota; Metazoa; Chordata; Mammalia; Rodentia; Muridae
Source: RNAcentral